AUUCUUUGCUACAAACUUGGGCCUGAAAGGCAGGUGGGGUAAAGGAACAGCACUAGUCUUAGAACCAGCCUUUUACUGGCUAUGACACCUUGAGCUAGUCCCUUGGCUUGUCUGAGCCUCAGUUUGUCCUUCUGGAAGGUAAGGAUUAUGAUGAAAUUAUCCUCAAAGUAGGGGUGGCAGGCAAACACUAGCAGGCCCUGGAUAAAUGCAUGUGAAUGGCUCUCCAGAUUGCUGGAUUCCAGUUCUGCCUGGCUGUGUUUUUUUUUGUUUUGUUUUGUUUUUUGAGACAGAGUCACGCUCUGUCACCCAGGCUGGAGUGCAGUGGUGCAAUCUCGGCUCACUACAAGCUCUGCCUCCCAGGUUCACGCGAUUCUCCUGCCCAAGCCUCCUGAGUAGCUGGGAUUACAGGCAUGCACCAACACGCCUGGCUAAUUCUGUAUUUUUAGUAGAGGCGGGGGUUUCUCCAUGUUGGUCAGGCUGGUCUCGAAUUCCUGACCUCAGGUGAUCCGCCCGCCUCAGCACUCCCAAAGUACUGGGAUUACAGCUGUGAGGCACCGCACCCAGCCAAAAAUUUCCAGUUGCUUUCUUUUCUUUUUGAGAUAGAGUUUCACUCUUGUUGCCCAGACUGGAGUGCAAUGGCACGAUCUCGACUCACUGCAACCUCUGCCUCCUGGGUUCAAGCAAUUCUCCUGUCUCAGCCUCCCAAGUAGCUGGAAUUACAGGCGUGUGCUACCAUGCCCAGCAAUUUUUUUUUUUUUUUUUUCAGUAGAGAUGGAGUUUCACCAGGCCAGGCUGAUCUCGAACUCCUGACCUCAGGUGAUCCACCCGCCUCAGCCUCCCAAAGUGAUAGGAUUAUGAUUACAGGCGUGAGCCACUGCGCCCUGCCUGGGCUGUGGUCUUUAACUGGCUGAGAGCCUUCAGAUGAGAACACUCUGAGCCUCAGUCUCCUUCAAUGGAGGCACUGGACAGCAGGAAGUCAGAGAAGACUUUCAGUGCUAACUGCUCAGUUUUUAUCAAAGCAACUGUGAAUUGUAGAAAGGGGAAAAUUAGCUCUGAAGUAUUUAAGAGGAAAAUGGGGAAUUUUCUUGGAAUUGAUUGAACAUGUUUUAAGACAUCACAAGGAUGCCUCCAAACCUGCUUGACUAUGAACAAUGACUUGUUCUCCUCCAAGGACUAGAUAUGGAGUCUUAUGCUGACCAGGCUGGUCUUGAACUCCUGACCUCCAGUGAUCCUCCAUCUCAGCCUCCCAAAGCCCUGGAAUUACAGGUAUGAGCCACCAUGCCCAGCAGUAGUAAAGAUGAAAUGAGAGGUGAAAAUAACGAGACUAAACACAUAAUGAAAGCCAGAAUACACUGUCAGUCACAAAGAAUAGACACAACUGUGAAUGAAGUCUGACUGAGCCACUUCCUCAAUGUGUGCCCUGGCUGUUCUGAGUCUCAGUUUCCACAAUUUAUACAUUGGAGAAAAUAACUCCUUCCUCACUAGGCUUGUGAGAGGAUCCCAGGAGGUCAUUUACCUGAUAUGUGCCUGAUGCCUGACAGGUGCUCACUAAAUGCUAACUGCUAUUGUAGUUACCUUGUUACUUUCUCCAAAUAGGACACAUUCAGGGAGAAAUGUAAGGGAACCAUAUACAGGGAAAUGGUUAGGCAUUUCUUCCAUGCCUACUUUUCCAAUGAGGAAACUAAAACUCAGAGGUCAGGUGAGCUGCCUUGGGUCAUACAGCAAGCAAGAGUCUGACUGAGCCCACCACUGAAGGCCCCCUGACUAUGGGGCCAAAUGAGGUUCUCUUUUCCCUGAACCACAUGGAGGUGGCUUGUCUGUGGUGUUACAAGUGGUUCAGACUGGCUAGUGUAACACAGAGAUUCUGAGAACCUUGUGGGAAGGGCCCUGUAAUGAGUUAUCGGAGGACUUUGGUGCUUUAGGGACAGAGAGGUUGCUUGUGGCAUAGUCUUGGAUGUACAGAUUAGGUACAGCAUCUUGGGAAGAAGAGAUAGGGAAAGAUGCAAGGAAGGAAAUGAAAUGCAUAUUUAUUAUGCACCUACCAUAAGCUGGAUGUUUCCCAAUAUGCUAUCUUUUUUAAUCCCCACAAAACUCAGAGGACCUCUAAGAUACAAUAUACUCAUUUUACAGGCAAGGUUAUUGAAGAUCACACAGGCUGAAGAAGGGCUGCUGAAUUCUUCAAUAUGAACCAUCCCUUUGAUAAGAAACUGAGUGGGCCUGGUUCUUCUCAUCCCAGGAGAGCUCUGGUGUGCUUCCUGGCAUAUAAGUGAGUGGGAAAGGCUCUGCCAGUCCCCAGUCCCCCACCCCUCUUGCCACUCAGCCUCAAUCUGUCAACCAGGCCAGCUAGCCCGUCUAUUAAUGCUGACAUUGAUUUGGAUCAAUCAAGAUCCCAUAAUUACUGGGAGUUUUAAUCAACUCAUGCCAAUUCAGCUGCCGCUCAAUUUGUGCUGGACUUCGGUGCUCACAAGGAGGGAAGCGGCGAGGGUGGGGUGGGGCGGGGGGAGGGCAUGCAAAAAGGAUUACAGGGAUCAAUAGUCCUUGGUAAUGAAGGACAGCAGCUGCAGGCACCACCAGGGGGCCUGAGACUUCAGAGUGGAGGAGACAGAGCCUGCCCCCAUCCCCCAGGAGAGCUCCCUGGCAGAGAAUGAAAACCACGCCCCUGCUUCACCUCUGCCUACACCUGGAUCUGGAAACCACUUAGGCACUACCAGGCAGCACCUGUUCUCUGCAGGGUCCAACCCUCAGUAUCUCUCUCCACAUUUUGCCCUCAGCCAGGCCUGGCCUCCUCUUCCUGAAGAAUCUUAUGUAUCCUUCAGAGCCAGCAAUCCCAUUACUGGGUAUACAUCCAAAAGAAAAUAAAUCGUUCUACCAAAAAGACACACGCAACCGUGUGUUCAUUGUUGCCCUAUUCACAAUAGCAAAGACAUGGACUCAACCUGUGCCCAUCAACUGGUGGAUUGGAUUUAAAAAAAUGUGGUGUGUAUACACUUGAAAUACUAUGCAGCCAUAAAAAAAUCAUGUCCUUUGCAGCAAUAUGGAUGCAGCUGGAGGCCAUUAUCCUAAGCUAAUUAACACAGGAAGAGAAAACUAAAUACCGCAUGUUCUCACUUAUAAGUGGGAGCUAGGACGGGCGUGGUGGCUCAUGCCUGUAAUCCCAGUGCUUUGGGAGGCCAAGGUGGAUAGAUCACCUCAGGUCAGGAGUUUGAGAUCAGCCUGGCCAACAUGGUGAAACCCCAUCUCUACUAAAAAUACAACAAAUUAGCCAGGGGUGGUGGCGGGCACCUGUAAUCUCAGGUACUCGGGAGGGUGAUGGGGGAGAAUUGCUUGAACUCGGGAGGCAGAUGUUGCAGUGAGCCAAGAUCGUACCAUUGCAUUCCAGCCUGGGCAACAUGAGCAAAACUCUGUCUCAAAAAAAAAAAAAAAAAGUGGGAGCUAUAUAUUGGGUACUUAUGGACAUUAAAAUGGCAAUAAUAGACACUGGGGACUACCAGAUGGGGGAAGGAGGCAGGGAGGUGAAAGGGAAGAAACAGGUGCAAGGAUUAAAAAACUACUUAUUGGGCACUACGCUUAGUACCUGAGUGAUGGGAUCAAUUGUACUGCAAACCUCAGAAUCACACAAUAUAUCCAGGUAACAAACCUGCACAUGUACCCUCUGAAGCUAAAAUAAAUGUUGAAAUUAUUUUUUAAUCAAAUUUUAAAAAACUCUGUAAAUUAUUUCUCAGCAGUCUCUGUGGUUAUGUUCCUGAGUUCAAAAAGCAGAAGAAUGCUGAGGAGACAAAAAAAUAAAAAUAAGAUUAAUCCAGAUACUGUCAUUUCCUAGCUGUGUGACUUCAGGCAAGUCACUGCACUUUUCUGGUCCUGUUUUUCCUGUUCUAAAAUAGACUCAAUAAUAAAUAACCGCCUCCUGGGAUUGCUGGGAACAUUGAGUGCUGUCACGAAUGAAAAAUCCUUGUGUGGAAGUUCCUUCUUCCUUUUGAUGUCCCACAUCAGAAAGAAUCAGUUUUCUUUUUCUCCCAUGUUCAUUAUUCUUCUCCUAGCACAAGCUUUAUUCUGCCAGGUGGGACGGUUUCUGGGUCACAGUCUGUUUCCCUACGAGUCCACAGCUAUUUGGGGACAGGGACUGUAAUACACACAGCUUCCUUUUCUCAGUCCAGCACGUGGGAGGGAGACAAGCCAGUAUGCAAGGCAAAUGUGGCCUUUGGGGUCAAGCAAGCUUGGGCUUGAAUCCCACCUGUCUUUGCCACUUACUAACCAUGUAAUGUUAGCCAGUCACUUCGUUAACAUUUGAACCUCAACUUCCUCAAAGUAAAAUGAGCCUAAUUACACCUACUCAGAAUUGCUACGGAGGAAAAAAAAAAAAACAAAAAGUUAGACAUUUAAUGUCCCUAACAUAGUAUCUAGCACAAUGGUAAGAUCCUGAUUGUUAUAAAAGUUGCUAUUAUGAUUAUUAUCACUCUUAAUAUUCAGUGCUCAGUAAAUAUUUUUGGAAUGUAAUAAAAUGUCUGGUUGUAUUGCUUAGUUUUGGCUUGAGUUCCAAUGAAAUACCAACAGGCCAUUAUCCCCACAUGCCAGCCAUCUGUGCAGCCUUCAACACACACUUACUGAAGACACCAGAAAGGAAAUUCAAAUGCUUUCAGGACACACUGUGGGCCAGGCACUAUAGGAAGUGUUUUCCUUAUACUGCUUUGCUGAAGGCCCACACUUCUAUGAGAUUGCUGUUAUUGCUGUUAUUAGCUUGAUGUCUGCAGAAGAGAAAACUGAGGCUUUGUGGCUGGAUAUGUCUUUCCUUGUAGUUCUAGCAGAACCAGGGUGCAAACAUGGGGGCGUUUGACUCCAGGCCCCUGCUCUCUCCACUGUACCAUACCAUUCUUUCUUUUUUUUGAGACGGAGUCUCACUGUGUUGCCCAGGCUGGAGUGUGGUGGUGCGAUCUCGGCUCAAUGCAAGCUCCACCUCCCGGGUUCACGCCAUUCUCCCGCCUCAGCCUCCCGAGUAGCUGGGACUACAGGCGCCUGCCACCAUGCCUGGCUAAUUUUGUUUCUCUUAUUUUUAGUAGAGACGGGGUUUCACCGUGUUAACCAGGAUGGUCUCGGUCUCCUGACCUCGUGAUCCGCCCGCCUCGGCCUCCCAAACGUACCAUUCCUUUCUUGUGGAGGCACCAAGAAGUAGAAAAUGUGAGAGUUCCCGACUUCAGGAAGAAUCUAGACCAAUGGUAGAGAUCAGCCUCAUGGAGAGAGGUGCUGACGCCAUUUGGAAGAAUAAUAUCCUGAGGUGCAGAGAUGUAAGAGAACUUCCCAAGAUCAUACAGUGAUUAGAUGUGGGGCGGGACAGAGGCUCCACUCAGGUCUGCACUGCUACAAAGCUGUACCCUCUGGGCUGAUGGCAUGGCUCAGUGAAGGAGCUCUCUCUGUUCCCAAGGCAGAGGCUCUAACUGUCUUCACCUGGGUUCAAGGCGCUGGGAGGAAAAUGAACAUCUGUUGUGUACCCCCCAUACACCAGACACACUGCUAGGCUAUGCUAAUUUAUGAAAUCUUCCCAACAACCCAGAAAAGAAUGCACCAUUAUUUUCACCACUCACAGAUGGAAAACAGGCUUGGAGAGGGAAGAUGACUUGCUUCAGGUCCUCACCAUAGAUGCUUGGAUGUCUUUCUGUUUUCAGAAGCCUCAUGUCCUAUUACUUCUCUGAGUAGCACAGAGCCGAGGGAAUUUUGCUACAGAUCAAGUGCAGGGAGGUAUUUGGGGAAAAUAGCUUAUUGUGACAUUGCCUGAGCACUUGACUAUGAAACCAGGUCUCCUCCUAAGAGCAUUGAAUGUGCAUUAACUCAUUCCCUCCUCAAAGCAAACCUAUGUGGCAAACACCAAACACCAAUAUCAUGCCCACUUAACAGAUGGAGAAUCUGAAGCGCAGCACGAAGAGGUGUAUUAACUUGAUGAAGGUCACACGGCCAGUAAGUGGUGGAGCCAGGAAGCCUGGCACCUGAGUCUCUUUUCUUAGCCCUUCCGCAAUACUUCCUCAUACAACAACCAUGUAAGGUAGUGUGACAUAGGAAAAACAAACUCAGUUUCUCCUGUGAUACCCUCUCACCACACAAUCAACACAGAACACUUCUGUGACCUCUGGUCACCAAGAAGUGUGUGGCAAUUUCUCUCUGGCAGCAACCAGUUCUCUGGGAGAUCUUUCAGCAGACACCAGCUGGGUGUCCUCUAAUUCAGUUCAAUUUUGACACUAUCUAACUGGAGAUGGUGUCAGAUCCCACAGGUUGAGUACUCAGUCCCAUAAGACUGCCUCCAAUUUCCACUGCCAAUUCCAAGCCCCAGGUUAUUAAACCUGUGCUUCUGAUGACCAGCUAUAAAUCAGGGUUCCCACAAUCCCUUCCUUGGGUUUCAUGAACUUGCUACAGCAGCUCACAGAACUCAGGGAAAUACUUAUGUUCCCUGGUUUAUUAUAAAGGAUAUACCAAUUAUCACCAGAUGGAAAAGUUGCACAGGGCAAAUAAUGUGGGAAGAGGCACGGAGUUUCCAUGCCCUGUCUGAGCACAUCGUCCUCCAGGAACCCCCAUGUGUUCUACUCUCUGGAAACUCUUGAACCUAGUCCUUUUGGAUUUUUAUGCACACUUCAAUACUUAGACAGCAUUGAUUAAAUCAUUGGCCACUGGUGAUCAACUUAACCUUUAAGCCCUUCUCCCCAGUUCAGAGGUUGGGGGUGGGGCUAAAAGUCCCAACCCUCUAAUCUUGUCUUGGCCUUUCCUGUGACCAGCCCUCACCCUGAAGCUACCUAAGGGUGGAUAGCCAUCAGUCAACUCAUUAGUAUACAAAAGACACUUAUCACUUUAAUGAUAACAAGAAUUUUAGAAGUUAUAUGCCCAGAAACAGGGAUAAACACCAAUAUAUAUUAAUUUGCAGGUACUAUUAUUUCACCCUUUUUUUGAAUACUGGGAGAUUAAGACUUAAAGAGGUUUAAAGCAACUUGUCUCAUUACAGAGGAAGGGAUCGAGACAGGAUUUGAACCUGUACAGCUUGAUACCAAAUAACUUGUGCCUAGCAGUGAGUUACUUAUUCAGGGGUCAGGGCCAGGCCUUCAUUAGGGCAGGCUGGACAUACGGACUUUUCCAUGCUGCUAGGUUUAACAGGCUGGUAUCGCUUCCCCAUCUCUUGUCACUAAAAACUCAAUUAGCAGCUUGAGGCUGUGUCCUCACAUCACACCUUCUCAUUGAUCACUCAGACUGUGAGUGAGAAAGAUUUUAAAGCUGGUUGGCUUUGCAAAGCAUAGAGCAGCAACCAUUGAGCAUAUGCUUCUGUGGGUAUAUAUUUAUUCAGCUUAUGUUGAGUAUAAUUUUGGAUGGUAUGCAUAUUUUAUUUUUUGUUGCAGAGAGCAAUUUAAAAGAAGAAAAAAAAUCCUUCUCUGAAUGGAGACAGAUGCCAUAUAUGUUGGACCCUCAGGGGAUUGAAAAGGAUGAGGUUCCCAAGUCCAGUGUUCUGGGGACGGACGUGGGUGGAAGGAAACUCACAAGUGAUGGGAAUCCAGGAUCAACUGCAACACCCACAGCAAGGCCAGCAAGGCACUAACCACCCAGUCCAGGGCAGGGCCCUUCAAGGUUUUAUUCCCAAGGCCUCCCCAGUAGCCUGUCUGACUGUUCUCUACAUGCUAUUUACUGAGUACUAAAUAUUGAGUGAUGGGUGAAGUGCACAUCAUCCCCCUUAACUUUCCCCACAACUCCAUGUUGAGAUGCUGUUGUACAUAUGAGAACACAGAUACUACAUUGCCCAAUGUCAUCAACUAGAACAGCAGGAAUCUGUGUGCUGGGAAGCCAGACCCCAGAACCAGUGCUCUCAAAUCCCCACCAAUGUCAUCUAGUGGUUACUGGAGUCCUUAUUUUGGAGUCCUGAUAUCCAUGCUACCAAUUCCUAUCUGAGUGACAAUGAACAUGUCACUUCCCUUUCUGAGUUGGCUUCCACACUCACAGGAUGGAGACUGAGAUACCAUUUUGCUAGGGUGUUAUCAAGAUUCAGAGAUCCAAAGUUACACUUAAAAGUCAUUUGAGACAUUUGUUCUUUUUUUCUACCCCACCCCCUGCCUAAAAGGUUCUCCUCUUACCCAGGAUGAACUCAAGAUGUAACAUUUUAAAAUGAGCCUUAGGAAAAAACCUGCAAGGGUUGGUACCAGCUGGAGAAAAAUAAAUACGCUCAUGUGGGUGCCAAAGAUUCAAAAGAGAGAAGCAGCAGCCCAAACCAGAGUCUACACCAGAGGGAAUCAUUAUGGAAGGAGAAAGUUCAUCCUAUCAUUGUGCAGAAAGGAAGGAUCCAUGUGUGACUCUAGGGAGUAGGAUCCAAAGCAUCAUUUUCUAGCUCUGUAAAUAGACUAUGGACUCUUUGCUAGUUAGGACACAGUAUCUUUCUAAUGUUAGGGCCCAGAAGAGGGUCUUACACAGCAGUACUUAGUUGUUGAGCUCUGAAUGCAGCUAAAAUUCAACUGUGGGUUGUCUAAUAACCAGUUUUUGCUUCAACCAAAGGCAAGUUUGAUCUAGUUUGAUAAGAUGUGCUAGAUGCUGGAGAAUCCAUUACCAACAGUCAAGAAUCACAUAAAAGAGCUGCUCUAUGCAUACCUAAGUGGGAAAACUGUAAAAAAAACAUGAUUAGCAUAAAAGACAGGGUCUUGGCCACUUCCAGAAGGGAGGACAGGGUUACAAUUGGAAAUGGAGGCAUGGUGGGUGUGUUGGGGGAGGGCUUAUGGAAUGCAGGCAAUAUUCUAUUUCUUGACAUGGGUGAUGGUUUAGGUGAGAAUUGCUUAAUUCGUAUCAAAACUGUAAAUAAUGUUUUACAUAUUUUUCUAUAUAUUAUAUUGCACAGUAAAAUUGCUAAACAUCUAUCUAUCUAUCUAUCUAUCUAUCUAUCUAUCUAUCUAUCUAGUUAUCUAUCUAUCUUAUAGUAAAUCUACUAAAAGGACAUGUCAAAAUGUUAGUAGUAGCUAUUUGGAGGUGACAUGACUAUGGGUGAUAUUGUUCUUUAUUUUUUCUCUAUAUGUCCUAAAUAUUCUUGUAUGUGCAUAUAAUAAUUUCAUAAUUAAAAAAAAACACGUUUUAGUUGAAUUGCUUCAUUACCUAAAUAAGGCAACAACAAAAACGUGAAGGUCAGUUCCACCACUUCUGCCUGAAAUUCCUCCAAUGGAGAACCUCAUCUUCUCCCUAAGGUUCAAUGUGCAUGAAAGAACAGCUCUGCAGAGUAAGUUGAGGGGUGCCAAAUCCCACUGGCUCUUAUAUAGGCCUAUCUGCAGUGUCUUCCCCCUCUGGAACCAAGUACAUCUUUGACUUAGGUACUGUGGCGGGAAAGGGAGAUGCCCCAGAGAGAAUCAAGUUUAACUCUGAAUUUGUAGGAAGGACAGGAGCAUAGCUGAGGAUUCACAGUAAACAGAGUCAUGUUGAGAAACAGGGUCCCUUCAUCACCUCGGACUGUAUUAUCCCCAUGAUCAUGGGCCUGAAAAAUCACCUUUCCCUUUCAGUGAUGAUGAAGAAAAUUUCUGAAAACCAAGGAAAGCCAGAAAAGGCUACUAAGUUUCCUAGCUCAACAAGCUCCUCUCUACACAAUAGGACCUGAUCUUAGGAAGGGAGGCCAUGGCCCUGGGUUUUGCUCAUGCCUGGCUACUUUCACUGGGUCCGGCCAACAAUAUUGUAAGGUGCAGGGAUCAUUCCCAUUUUAUGGAUCAGAUUAGAGGGGCUCAGAUACAUUCAGCAAUUUGUCCAAAGUCACACAGCUUCCCAGUUACAGGGAUGGGAUUUGAAUCCAACUCUGAAUUAUGGACAAGUCUAUUCUUUUUACUGGACUGGAAUUCUGAUUAACUAGCCCAUCUCUCUCUAGGAACGUCUGUCACUCAGUUCGGGUAGAAUUUUCUCAAUGAGGAGAAAGGCUAUUGAGUGUUUGAUGAAACCUUCUCACUGUUUGCUCCCUCAAGGGAAAGGGAUUUCAAAAUACCUGGGCUAGUGGGUCAAGACUUCUUAAAGCAGGGAUCAGAGAGAAGCUGGAGAAUACAGGCAAAAGGAUACCUUUAUUAUUUGUAAAAUUUAAUAACAAUAAUAAUAAUGUCAUUUGUCAUCCAUUUAUCCUCAAGACCUAUGAUAAAAGACAAAAGAAUGAUGAUAAAAAUAAAAGCAUGUUAUCCUGGGUGGAAGAGAGUCCUACACUGGAAUUUCAGACACCUGGGUUCUAUCCAAGCAUAGCUCUUGUGCUCUUUAGCCUCAAUUUGAUCAUCUUUAUUUAUUACCCAAGGGGAAAAUACACACACACACACACACACACACACACACACACACACACGGUUAAGAUCAAGCUAGGAAGUCAGUUGUCCUAAAAAGAAAAAAAAAUUGGAAAAGCUCUAGGAAAAGCAGAAUGUGUAGUUCUGACUUAGAAAAUUGUCCCGAAGAAACACAACUGUAUGCUUUUUAUGCUUCCAUUUUUAAAAUUACAUAUAUAAAUUCUUAUUUAUAUUUGCAUAUGCAUAGGGAAGAAGUGUAUGGAAGGAUAUGUAUCUAUCUAUAUAUACACCAAACCGUGG
This 10544-nucleotide long non-coding RNA is filed under the name Homo sapiens (human). RNAcentral describes it as "non-protein coding lnc-TRIM32-5:2". Lineage: Eukaryota; Metazoa; Chordata; Mammalia; Primates; Hominidae. The record is from RNAcentral.